GCCGGCCUGCGCCAGGGGCUGCGGCGCCGGCAACGCGUCGACGGGCAGGCCGGCAUGCCAGCGUUGGACCGCCUCGAACAGCCGGCGC
This 88-nucleotide transfer RNA is filed under the name Pseudomonas aeruginosa. Its description in RNAcentral is "tRNA-Cys(gca)". Lineage: Bacteria; Pseudomonadati; Pseudomonadota; Gammaproteobacteria; Pseudomonadales; Pseudomonadaceae. The record is from RNAcentral. RNAcentral also lists the same sequence under 1 other name.